CCUACGGGGGGCAGCAGUGGGGAAUAUUGGGCAAUGGAGGCAACUCUGACCCAGCAACGCCGCGUGAAUGAUGAAGGUCUUCGGAUUGUAAAGUUCUUUUCUAAGGGAAGAAGAAAGUGACGGUACCUUAGGAAUAAGCCUCGGCUAACUACGUGCCAGCAGCCGCGGUAAUACGUAGGAGGCAAGCGUUAUCCGGAAUGACUGGGCGUAAAGGGUGCGUAGGUGGUUUGACAAGUUGGUAGCGUAACUCCGGGGCUCAACUUCGGAACUACUACCAAAACUGUUGGACUCGAGUGCAGGAGAGGCAACUGGAAUUUCUAGUGUAGCGGUGGAAUGCGUAGAUAUUAGGAGGAACACCAGUGGCGAAGGCGGCUUACUGGACAGUAACUGACGUUGAGGCUCGAAAGCGUGGGGAGCAAACAGGAUUAGAUACCCCAGUAGUC
RNAcentral lists this ribosomal RNA (443 nucleotides) under uncultured bacterium. Its description in RNAcentral is "partial 16S ribosomal RNA". It matches the Rfam family "Bacterial small subunit ribosomal RNA", at positions 338 to 795 of the family's 1533-position model. The record is from RNAcentral.